AAUGUAUUCACAGGGCAGGACAGUAAGCUUUUACUCAGAGCUCCUGUGGAUUUUGAAGCAACAGCAACAAAGAGCAGCAGGAGAAAACACUGAUUGGCUCUAGCCCAAGUGGGAGGAGAGUCAGAAGU
Molecule: long non-coding RNA, 128 nt
Organism: Amblyraja radiata (thorny skate)
Lineage: Eukaryota; Metazoa; Chordata; Chondrichthyes; Rajiformes; Rajidae
Exons: 3
Source: RefSeq, a predicted model, not a curated record